GCGACCCCAGGAUGGGCGAGACCACCCGCCGAGU
Molecule: ribosomal RNA, 34 nt
Filed under: Aerides multiflora
Lineage: Eukaryota; Viridiplantae; Streptophyta; Magnoliopsida; Asparagales; Orchidaceae
Description: partial 26S ribosomal RNA
Source: RNAcentral